GAUGAACGCUGGCGGCGUGCCUAAUACAUGCCAGUCGAGCGAACAGACGAGGAGCUUGCUCCUCUGACGUUAGCGGCGGACGGGUGAGUAACACGUGGAUAACCUAUCUAUAAGACUGGGAUAACUUCGGGAAACCGGAGCUAAUACCGGAUAAUAUAUUGAACCGCAUGGUUCAAUAAUGAAAGACGGUUUUGCUGUCACUUAUAGAUGGAUCCGCGCCGCAUUAGCUAGUUGGUAAGGUAACGGCUUACCAAGGCAACGAUGCGUAGCCGACCUGAGCGGGUGAUGCGCCACACUGGAACUGAGACACGGUCCAGACUCCUACGGGAGGCAGCAGUAGGGAAUCUUCCGCAAUGGGCGGAAGCUUGACGGAGCAACGCCGCGUGAGUGAUGAAGGUCUUCGGAUCGUAAAACUCUGUUAUUAGGGAAGAACAAAUGUGUAAGUAACUAUGCACGUCUUGACGGUACCUAAUCAGAAAGCCACGGCUAACUACGUG
RNAcentral lists this ribosomal RNA (497 nucleotides) under uncultured bacterium. RNAcentral describes it as "partial 16S ribosomal RNA". It matches the Rfam family "Bacterial small subunit ribosomal RNA", at positions 28 to 507 of the family's 1533-position model. The record is from RNAcentral.